RNAcentral lists this ribosomal RNA (253 nucleotides) under uncultured bacterium. RNAcentral's name for it is "partial 16S ribosomal RNA". It matches the Rfam family "Bacterial small subunit ribosomal RNA", at positions 524 to 776 of the family's 1533-position model. The record is from RNAcentral.
UACGAGGGGGGCGAGCGUUGUUCGGAAUUAUUGGGCGUAAAGGGCGCGUAGGCGGUGCGGUAAGUCACCUGUGAAACCUCUGGGCUUAACCCGGAAAGGUCAGCCGAUACUGCGGGGCUAGAGUGCAGAAGGGGCAACUGGAAUUCUCGGUGUAGCGGUGAAAUGCGUAGAUAUCGAGAGGAACACCUGCGGCGAAGGCGGGUUACUGGGCUGACACUGACGCUGAGGCGCGAAAGCUAGGGGAGCGAACGGG